AGUUAUCCCCGUUGCACGUGUGUUUCUUGUGCGAGAGAUGCAGAAGCGAGAGCUAGGUAAGCAAGGCGGAGGGUCGGGUGGCUCCGGCACUCCGGCGGCGAAGAGAGGCCGCCCUUUCGGAAGCACUAAUAGCAACUUAGCUGCAGCUGCGGCAGCCGACGCGGCAGCUCCAUCGACACUCCUUGGCCCAUCGCUCCAAGUUCACUCCUCUUUCGCUGAUCAAAACAAUAAAAGGAUUGUUCUUGCUCUUCAAAGUGGAUUAAAAAGCGAGCUGACAUGGGCACUAAAUACACUAACUUUACUUUCAUUCAAAGAGAAAGAUGAAGUGAGAAAAGAUGCAACUCCAUUAGCAAAAAUCCCUGGAUUACUCGAUGCUCUUCUCCAAGUUAUCGAUGAUUGGCGUGACAUCACUCUCCCAAAAGAGCUCAUAAAGACACCAAGAACAAGGUCUCUAGGUGUUAACUCCAUUGUUACUGGAUUUGGAAACGAGUUCAAAGCUUUAGGCUCAAAUGAUGUGAACAUAGGGUCUGUUUCAGAGGCAUCCAUGCAGAAAAAAGCAACAAAGUCUCAACCUGCAGAAUGGUGGCUUUCUGAAGAUGGAUUAUUUAAUUUGGAUGAUGAAGGGCGUGCAGAAAAGCAACAAUGUGCAGUUGCUGCUUCAAAUAUUCUCAGAAAUUUCUCUUUUAUGCCAGAAAAUGAAGUCAUCAUGGGUCAACAUCGCCAUUGUUUGGAAACAAUCUUUCAGUGCAUUGAAGACCAUGUUACAGAGGAUGAAGAACUUGUAACAAAUUGUCUAGAGACAAUUGUGAAUUUGGCUCCAUUGAUUGACCUUAGAAUCUUUAGCUCAUCAAAGCCUUCUUACAUUAAAAUAACAGAAAAAAGAGCAGUUCAAGCGAUUAUGGGAAUAUUGGGAUCUUCUGUAAAAGCUUGGCAUUGUGCAGCUGCAGAGUUACUUGGGCGUGUGAUAAUAAACCCUGAUAAUGAACCUUUUCUUCUUCCUUCUGCUCCACAGAUUUACAAACGAUUGGUUGAUCUUUUAAGCCUGCCAGCUGUAGAUGCACAAGCUGCUGCAGUGGGGGCACUUUAUAAUCUUGCAGAAGUCAAUAUGGACUGCAGACUCAAGCUUGCUAGUGAAAGAUGGGCAGUUGACCGAUUGCUAAAAGUGAUCAGAGCACCACAUCCAGUGCCAGAAGUGUGUAGAAAAGCAGCAAUGAUUCUAGAAAGCCUUGUUUCAGAGCCACAAAAUCGACCUUUGCUUUUAGCCUAUGAAAAUGCUUUUGCAGAAAUAUUAUUUUCUGAUGGAAAAUAUUCCGAUACUUUUGCAAGAAUUUUAUUUGAAUUAACUUCUAAGCCCAACAGCAAACUCACAACUGCUCGUGGUAUUUGGGGCAUGUAGCCCCCGUUUUUCGCGAAAAUUAAGGGACCAUUUGUGCAACAAAAGCGAAUAUUUGGACUAAAUCCAUGUGGGAAGCUAUGAGUAAAUGUUGUGAAUCAGUUCUUAAGGUACUUCAAAUGACCGUGGCAAGGCAAAGGUGUGAUCGUGCACAUCCUUUGGUUUUUAUGUUGUUUGGAUUUUGGGAUACUCUGAUUACUAAAAUACACUUUUGAAACAAUGGUUUUUUUUUUUAACAUUUAUGGUUAUGAGCUGUUUUUGACAAGUUAAAAGUUAUUGUGAUUUUGGGAUGUUACAAGUUGGUAUCAGAGCCUUGGUUUGAGAGAAUUGGAUGAACAUUUGUAACGUCCCAAAAUUUAAGACUAAAAAUUUCUUUUAAUAAAACAUUACUUUAAGCAAAUUCAUCAUUUCAAAACAUAAGCAGAGUAUUAGUUUCCAAAAUACAUGUUCGUUAUCAGAGUAAACAUUCCCAUGCUAUCUAAUCUAUGGUGUGUGCCAUGCGAUCACCCCGAGCUUUUCCCUCCGCUACUGGAAGUACCUGAAACCAAAACUGAAAACCGUAAGCACGAAGCUUAAUGAGUUACCCACCCUACCACAUACCAUGCAUAACCACAUACUGCACAUACUGGGCCACGCCUGCUAUCUUGGGCCUCGCCCCUACCUCGGGCCUCGCUCGCUACAACGGCCCCGCCGCUCCAGGCCCUGCCUGGCUUUGAGCCCCGCUCGAAUACAUAUCUGUUUCACUUAGGCCUCGCCUGUCACAGGGCCUCGCCCACUAAAAUAUAAUAGCACAUAAACAUAUCCCAUCACAUCACAUAAUCUAAACACAUACUAACGGAUCUUGUCCUAAGGCCUCGCCUAUCUCUGGGCCCCGCCCUUGUCCUGCUACUGAUGAGUCAUGGAACCCCGUCCAUACUCCUGCUGAUAGUGAGGUACGGGCCCAACCCACCCUCACUCCUUCCCUAACUUGGGCCUCGCCCCUGCUCUGCUGCUACCGAGAUGUGGAACACCAUCCACACUCUGCUAUUGGUGAGAUACGGGACCUCGCCCACACUCACCUCCCUACCAGGCACAUACAAGUAUCACACAGACAACAAGCAUAAACUGUCACAUAAACCAUUCCUUGGGCACCCGCCCUCUAUCAUUGGACCUCGUCCCGAAUAUCAUACUAGCAUACUGUGCCUAGGGCUAACCCCCGGGUCUUCUACUCAUAACUACAUGGGCCGACAUUGUGGCCGUAGACCCAUUCAUACAAAGGGAAACUCACCUGCACUGGCUGAACUAGCUGAUGAACCCACUAGCUGUUGCCCGGAAACUCUCUGAACUCCUGCUCCACUCGCUCCUCGAGCUACCAAUAUCAAUGCAACACUGAGUCUAACCGACCCCCGAAAGACAACCAAG
Molecule: RNA transcript, 2794 nt
Organism: Lactuca sativa (garden lettuce)
Lineage: Eukaryota; Viridiplantae; Streptophyta; Magnoliopsida; Asterales; Asteraceae
Gene: LFR
Gene name: ARM repeat superfamily protein
Source: RefSeq, a predicted model, not a curated record